Molecule: ribosomal RNA, 480 nt
Filed under: uncultured bacterium
Lineage: Bacteria
Description: partial 16S ribosomal RNA
Rfam family: Bacterial small subunit ribosomal RNA
Source: RNAcentral
GACGAACGCUGGCGGCGCGCUUAACACAUGCAAGUCGAGCGAUGAAGCACCUUCGGGUGUGGAUUAGCGGCGAACGGGUGAGGAACACGUAAGGAAUCUGCCUUUCACUUCGGGAUAGCUCCGGGAAACCGGGGCUAAUACCGGAUAUUUUCAACUGGCGGCAUCGCCGGUUGAAGAAAGUUUUUCGGUGAAAGAUGACCUCGCGGCCUAUCAGCUUGUUGGUGAGGUAAUGGCUCACCAAGGCGACGACGGGUAGCCGGCCUGAGAGGGCGACCGGCCACACUGGGACUGAGACACGGCCCAGACUCCUACGGGAGGCAGCAGUGGGGAAUAUUGGGCAAUGGAGGAAACUCUAACCCAGCGACGCCGCGUGAGGGAUGAAGGCCUUCGGGUUGUAAACCUCUUUCAGCAGGGAAUAAGCGAAAGUGAAGGUACCUGCAGAAGAAGCACCGGCUAACUAUGUGCCAGCCGCCGCCGUAA